CGGCGUGGAUUAGGCAUGCAAGUCGAGCGGGAUCCUGAGGCCUUGAUUCUUCGGAAAAGAGGUUUCGGGUGAUAGCGGCGAACGGGUUACUAACAUAUGGGUAAUCUGCCCCUAGGUCCGGAAUAGCCACUGGAAACGGUGAUUAAUGCCGGAUGUGAUCGGCCUCCGCAUGGAGGCCUCUUUAAAGGCGGGGAAUCUUCGGAUCCUGCCGCUUAAGGAUGGGCCCAUAUCCUAUCAGCUAGUUGGUGAGGUGACGGCUCACCAAGGCUAUGACGGUUAGCUGGUCUGAGAGGAUGGUCAGCCACACUGGGACUGAGACACUGCCCAGACUCCUACGGGAGGCUGCAUUCGAGGAUCAUUCGCAAUGCGCGAAAGCGUGACGGUGCGACGCCGCGUGCAGGAUGAAGGCCUUCGGGUCGUAAACUGCUGUCAUGAGGGAGCAACGAAUCUGCCGUUAACACCGGCAGGAAGUGAUAGUACCUCAAGAGGAAGCCACGGCUAACUCUGUGCCAGCAGCCGCGGUAAUACAGAGGCGGCGAGCG
RNAcentral lists this ribosomal RNA (542 nucleotides) under uncultured organism. Its description in RNAcentral is "bacterial SSU rRNA". It matches the Rfam family "Bacterial small subunit ribosomal RNA", at positions 40 to 540 of the family's 1533-position model. The record is from RNAcentral.